This 452-nucleotide ribosomal RNA is filed under the name uncultured marine bacterium. Its description in RNAcentral is "bacterial SSU rRNA". It matches the Rfam family "Bacterial small subunit ribosomal RNA", at positions 8 to 452 of the family's 1533-position model. The record is from RNAcentral.
AGAGUUUGAUCAUGGCUCAGGAUGAACGCUAGCGGCAGGCUUAACACAUGCAAGUCGAGGGGUAACAGAGAAAAGCUUGCUUUUCUGCUGACGACCGGCGCACGGGUGCGUAACGCGUAUACAAUCUGCCUUAUACAGAGGGAUAGCCUUUAGAAAUGAAGAUUAAUACCUUAUAGUCUAUAUAUAUAGCAUUAUAUAAAUAGUAAAGCUUCGGUGGUAUAAGAUGAGUAUGCGUCCUAUUAGUUAGUUGGUGAGGUAACGGCUUACCAAGACAACGAUAGGUAGGGGCCCUGAGAGGGGGAUCCCCCACACUGGUACUGAGACACGGACCAGACUCCUACGGGAGGCAGCAGUGAGGAAUAUUGGACAAUGGAGGCAACUCUGAUCCAGCCAUGCCGCGUGCAGGAAGACGGCCCUAUGGGUUGUAAACUGCUUUUAUAUAGGAAGAAACC